RNAcentral lists this ribosomal RNA (613 nucleotides) under uncultured bacterium. RNAcentral's name for it is "bacterial SSU rRNA". The stretch from base 1 to 524 matches the Rfam family "Bacterial small subunit ribosomal RNA", at positions 338 to 873 of the family's 1533-position model. The record is from RNAcentral.
CCUACGGGAGGCAGCAGUGGGGAAUAUUGGGCAAUGGAGGAAACUCUGACCCAGCGACGCCGCGUGCGGGAUGAAGGCCUUCGGGUUGUAAACCGCUUUCAGUAGGGAAGAAGCGAAAGUGACGGUACCUACAAAAGAAGCACCGGCUAACUAUGUGCCAGCAGCCGCGGUAAUACAUAGGGUGCAAGCGUUGUCCGGAAUUAUUGGGCGUAAAGAGCUCGUAGGUCGUUUGUUACGUCGGAUGUGAAAACCUGAGGCUCAACCUCAGGCCUGCAUUCGAUACGGGCAAACUAGAGUUUGGUAGGGGAGACUGGAAUUCCUGGUGUAGCGGUGGAAUGCGCAGAUAUCAGGAGGAACACCAAUGGCGAAGGCAGGUCUCUGGGCCAAUACUGACACUGAGGAGCGAAAGUCUGGGGAGCGAACAGGAUUAGAUACCCUGGUAGUCCAGACCGUAAACGGUGGGCACUAGUUGUGGGAACCUUCCACGGUUUCUGCGACGCAGCUAACGCAUUAAGUGCCCCGCCUGGGGGAGGUACGAGUCGCGAAGAAGUUAAACGUAACGAAGGAAGUUAGACGGCGNGAGACGUGCCGAACGGACGACGACGAGGAGUAG